This 253-nucleotide ribosomal RNA is filed under the name uncultured bacterium. RNAcentral's name for it is "partial 16S ribosomal RNA". It matches the Rfam family "Bacterial small subunit ribosomal RNA", at positions 524 to 776 of the family's 1533-position model. The record is from RNAcentral.
UACAGAGGGUGCGAACGUUGCUCGGAAUUACUGGGCGUAAAGCGCGUGUAGGCGGGGCCGCAAGUCAGAUGUGAAAUCCCCGGGCUCAACCCGGGAACUGCAUCUGAAACUUCGGUCCUUGAGUACUGGAGAGGGUGGCGGAAUUCCUGGUGUAGAGGUGAAAUUCGUAGAUAUCAGGAGGAACACCGGUGGCGAAGGCGGCCACCUGGACAGUAACUGACGCUGAGACGCGAAAGCGUGGGGAGCAAACAGG